RNAcentral lists this long non-coding RNA (833 nucleotides) under Zea mays. Its description in RNAcentral is "drought responsive lncRNA". Lineage: Eukaryota; Viridiplantae; Streptophyta; Magnoliopsida; Poales; Poaceae. The record is from RNAcentral.
CGCCGUUGCUCCCAAUCGCCACGAUUUUUCUUUUUCCCGCGCCCUCCUCCUGCCUUCGCACCUCUAUCGGUCGAUUUGGUGCGCGUGUUGCGGCGGAGAGCCGGCGACCUCUGCUGCUUGCCGCUACGCUAUCCUCCACUGCGACAUGAAUCCCAGAAACAGCGCGUCUCUAACGGAUGGAACAAGGUCGCCGACGACAGGAAAUCACUCCGCGGCGGACGGAGAUGUAGAGGUACGUGAAUCGAGUUCCGUGUAAACUCCAGUUCUUGGCUGCAUCUUCCUUGUGUGCGAACCCUAGUUCUUUUCAGCAUCUUGAUCUUGAUUGCAAAUCAGAAUGCAUCUUGAAUCAGACUGAAGCUUGAGUGUGAACUCUAUUUCUUGAUCUCUGAUGUAGAUGUAGACUGAAGUUUGGUUUACUAGGCAUAAUUUGGAUGCACAGUCCAAUCAACCCUAGUUCUUGCAUAACCUGCAUUGAAGUUUUCAUUAUUAAUUAAUCUGUACUGAGAAGGAAGGCAAGAAAAAACACAUCAUGUUGCUGUUUUUUUUUAUAAUAGAGAGUGUCUUUUAUAAUAUGUACUAAUAAGGAAGGCAAGAAAAACAUAUGAACACAUUACGUAUGUAGGAUAAAAAACUAUCAAAUGAUCACCACAUUCAUUGACUAGUCAUUUUCAAAAUACCUGUGGUCACCCUUAACACAUGUUGAAUAUAUAAAAAAUAAAUGGAGCAUCUGCAAUGAGGAGAAAGGAAGAAUGAGAGUUGAUGAUUUAUGCAAUGAGGAGCAUCUGUACGAUAGUAUUUCAGAUAAUGAUUUGCAGUUUGCAACUAGGAGAGCG